This 253-nucleotide ribosomal RNA is filed under the name uncultured bacterium. RNAcentral describes it as "partial 16S ribosomal RNA". It matches the Rfam family "Bacterial small subunit ribosomal RNA", at positions 524 to 776 of the family's 1533-position model. The record is from RNAcentral.
UACAGAGGGGGCAAGCGUUGUUCGGAAUUACUGGGCGUAAAGGGCGCGUAGGCGGCCUUCUAAGUCGAACGUGAAAUCCCUGGGCUCAACCCAGGAACUGCGUCCGAUACUGGAAGGCUUGAAUCCGGGAGAGGGAUGCGGAAUUCCAGGUGUAGCGGUGAAAUGCGUAGAUAUCUGGAGGAACACCGGUGGCGAAGGCGGCAUCCUGGACCGGCAUUGACGCUGAGGCGCGAAAGCCAGGGGAGCGAAUGGG